Molecule: RNA transcript, 4803 nt
Organism: Pongo pygmaeus (Bornean orangutan)
Lineage: Eukaryota; Metazoa; Chordata; Mammalia; Primates; Hominidae
Gene: DMGDH
Gene name: dimethylglycine dehydrogenase
Exons: 16
Source: RefSeq, a predicted model, not a curated record
AUCCGACCGCCGCCCCGCCGGCCCCGCGGCCUCAGGCUGCCAGCUGGCCUCGGAGCAGGCGCCUGCGCCCUCGGCCUCGGCCUAGUCAUGCUCCGUCCGGGCGCGCAGCUGCUGCGGGGCCUCCUGCUGCGGAGCUGCCCGCUGCAGGGCUCCCCCGGGCGCCCGCGCUCCGUCUGCGGCCGGGAAGGAGAGGAAAAACCACCCUUAUCUGCAGAAACACAAUGGAAAGACAGAGCAGAAACAGUGAUAAUUGGAGGUGGCUGUGUUGGUGUGAGUCUGGCUUAUCACCUGGCCAAAGCAGGGAUGAAAGAUGUGGUCCUGCUGGAGAAAUCAGCGCUCACAGCUGGAUCUACCUGGCACGCAGCAGGUUUAACAACUUACUUUCAUCCUGGAAUAAACUUGAAGAAAAUACAUUAUGAUAGCAUCAAACUUUAUGAGAAACUGGAAGAAGAAACUGGACAGGUGGUGGGAUUCCAUCAGCCAGGUAGUAUCAGACUUGCUACCACCCCUGUAAGGGUAGAUGAAUUUAAAUAUCAAAUGACUCGGACUGGCUGGCAUGCAACAGAACAGUGUAUCAUUGAACCUGAAAAAAUUCAAGAGAUGUUCCCUUUACUCAACAUGAAUAAGGUUUUAGCUGGAUUGUAUAAUCCUGGAGAUGGUCACAUUGAUCCUUAUUCUCUAACUAUGGCACUGGCUGCUGGGGCUAGGAAAUAUGGUGCCCUUUUAAAAUAUCCUGCACCAGUAACUUCUCUGAAAGCCAGGUCAGAUGGAACAUGGGACGUUGAAACACCACAGGGGUCUAUGAGAGCAAAUAGAAUUGUGAAUGCUGCAGGAUUUUGGGCUCGUGAAGUAGGUAAAAUGAUUGGACUAGAACAUCCUCUCAUUCCGGUUCAACAUCAAUAUGUUGUUACAUCGACUAUACCUGAAGUGAAAGCUUUGAAACGAGAACUCCCUGUGCUCCGUGACCUGGAAGGAUCAUAUUAUCUCCGACAGGAAAGGGAUGGGCUUUUGUUUGGUCCAUAUGAAAGUCAAGAGAAAAUGAAAGUUCAGGACUCCUGGGUCACCAAUGGAGUUCCUCCAGGUUUUGGAAAGGAACUCUUUGAGUCUGAUCUAGAUCGAAUCAUGGAACACAUCAAAGCUGCUAUGGAAAUGGUUCCUGUCUUGAAAAAGGCUGACAUCAUCAAUGUUGUCAAUGGUCCUAUCACGUAUUCUCCUGACAUUCUGCCUAUGGUGGGGCCCCAUCAGGGGGUCAGAAACUACUGGGUGGCUAUAGGCUUUGGAUAUGGCAUAAUCCACGCUGGUGGGGUAGGGAAAUAUCUCAGUGACUGGAUCCUGCAUGGAGAACCUCCUUUUGAUCUGAUAGAAUUGGAUCCUAAUCGCUAUGGCAAAUGGACAACAACCCAGUACACUGAGGCCAAAGCAAGAGAAUCAUAUGGAUUCAACAAUAUUGUUGGUUAUCCUAAAGAAGAACGGUUUGCUGGGAGGCCGACUCAACGAGUCAGUGGGCUCUAUCAAAGGCUGGAGUCUAAGUGUUCCAUGGGGUUCCAUGCUGGCUGGGAGCAGCCGCACUGGUUCUACAAACCAGGCCAGGACACUCAGUAUAGGCCAAGCUUUCGCCGCACAAACUGGUUUGAGCCUGUGGGCUCGGAGUAUAAACAGGUUAUGCAAAGAGUAGGGGUAACUGACCUAUCACCAUUUGGCAAGUUUAACAUCAAAGGCCAAGAUUCCAUUAGACUACUGGACCAUCUCUUUGCAAAUGUCAUUCCAAAGGUGGGUUUUACAAAUAUAAGUCACAUGUUAACACCCAAGGGUCGAGUGUAUGCUGAGUUGACUGUUUCUCACCAGUCUCCCGGGGAGUUUCUUUUAAUUACUGGCUCUGGAUCAGAACUUCAUGAUCUUAGAUGGAUUGAAGAAGAAGCAGUCAAAGGUGGAUAUGAUGUUGAAAUUAAAAACAUAACCGAUGAGCUUGGAGUUCUUGGAGUUGCUGGGCCACAGGCAAGAAAGGUCCUUCAGAAACUGACCUCUGAAGAUCUUAGUGAUGAUGUUUUCAAGUUUCUUCAAACCAAGUCCUUAAAGGUUUCCAACAUUCCUGUCACUGCUAUUAGGAUAUCUUAUACUGGUGAGCUGGGUUGGGAGCUGUACCACAGAAGAGAAGAUACUAUGGUGCUGUAUGACGCUAUCAUGAACGCAGGCCAGGAGGAGGGAAUCGACAAUUUUGGAACCUAUGCCAUGAAUGCCUUACGCCUGGAGAAAGCCUUCAGAGCCUGGGGGUUAGAGAUGAACUGUGAUACAAAUCCUUUGGAAGCUGGACUGGAAUAUUUUGUGAAGUUAAAUAAGGAUCAGAAUAGCUGCUUUGCCCGUUUUAAGGAGGAAAAUGGCUGGGUGAGCAGAUGGGCCAUCAGGCCUUAUUAGGGUGAAUCGUGUUCUUGUCAAAACCUGUAAGAAAGUAGGGAAAAGAACAAAGGAAUACUGAAGAACUCUUUCAUCACAAAGGGAGACGGCGCAGUGGCCCUUGCUUCCUUCGGUCUUGGAGUUGUUCCAGCCUCCUUCCCCUGGUGUUGGCUUACGUGAAGCUGAUACACAUGUAUCAUUCAUUCAUCCAUUCAUCUAGUAGACAUUUAUUAAGUACCGCUGAUUAGACACCUUGCCAAACCAUAGAUCUAAAUGUUAAAGAUAUAUUCCUGAGGGCUCUGAGAUCUCAUGAACCUGGAAACAAAUGAUAUUUCAGGAACUAAAGCUGUAGGGAUACGUUCUUAGCCGUAAUUGUGAAGAUAACCCUUCCACAAGCGGAGGGCUCUCCAGCCGCAUACAACACCGCCAUCUUGUGGGAAGUGCUCCGUAGAGCCCUGCCAGGAAGCCUUGACCAAAGCUGCAGUAAAAAUAAUUGAAUCUGUGCUUUUAAAAUCUUCUUAACUAAAAACGCUUCACCUGAAACAACUCAUAUCAUUGUUCUCAAUGGUAUUUUUGGUAUGUUCCAAAGGAAGUAACUUUUGGGAGGAAAAUCAGUGGCCUUUGUUUAGUUGGAGAUGGAAGAAAUGCAUUAAUCAAGAGCAAAAGGAAAAUCAGCUGCCUUUGGAUGGAGUCAUAGGUGAUUCUGCAGAGAUGGAGAAUUACUGUUUUCAAUGGAAGAUUUUCAACUGGCUGAACAUAUUAUCCUGAAGAACUAAAAAUUACCUGAACUAAAAGAACUAAAAACUACUCAAGUAGUUCUCAAGGUGUGGUCCACAGACCAGCAGCAUCACUGUCACCUGGGGACCUGCUAGAAAAUUCAAAUUGUUGGGUACCAUCCCAGACCCCCAAAAUCAGAAACUGCCAGGGUGGAACCCAACUAUCUAUCUAUCUAUCUAUCUAUCUAAUCUAUUUUUAUUGAGACCGAGUCUCGCCCUAUCGCCCAGGCUGAAGUGCAGUGGUGCAAUUUUGGCUCACUACAACCUUUGCCUCCCAGGUUCAAGCAGUUCUCUUGCCUCAGCCUCCCCAAUAGCUGCCAUCAUGCCCAGUUGAUUUUUGUAUUUUCAGUAGAGACGAGGUUUCACCAUGUUGGCCAGGCUGGUCUUGAACUCCUGACCUCAGGUGAUCCACCUGCCUCAGCCUCUCCAAGUGCUAGGAUUACAGGCAUGAGUCACCGCACUUGGCCCAGCAAUCUAUUCUAAUAAGCCCUCCAGGUAGUUUCAAUGCAGCUUAUCUAAGAACAUGGACCUACCCCAAAUCAAUUAGAUUUACUCUAGGUGUAGGGUCCAUGGUUCCUUUUUAAAGCUCCACAGGUGAUUUUUUUUAAUGAAGUGAAUAUUGAGAACCACUGUUUCAGUUCUUAUAACUUCAUACCAACUUCAGUCUUGAAAGUAUAUAGGAAAGUAGAAAAACAGGUGGAUUGGUCAGAGGAUGGUGCUAUAGAACUGUGGUGGAAUGAAUGUAAAUUAAUAGAUCUAGAGCCUAUUCCAGCUAGGCUACAGGUUCAUAUUCUGCCCCAUAUCUUUGUUUUUUCUUUUAGAACUGGGUAGUAAGUGAAUUUUUUUUAAGUCACCAAAUUCUAGCCGCAUGGCCCAGGAAAGCCAUUUAACUUGAUUUUAAUGCCUGAGAUUUUUAAUCUGUAAAAGAAGGCUACUUUUGCAAGUCUAAAAUCCUAUGGAAUGCCUCCAACACAGUGGUUGAAGAUAUUGGUGCCAUGUUAUCUUUAUGAGCCACAUAAUUGUGUCAUCUGAAUUAAGCUGUCCUUAUUCUGUUACCCAUUUUCAUUGCUGAGUGAUAAGGGGAAGGAGAGGAGAAAGGAGGGGAGGGGAAGAGAAAGGAAGAGGAAAGAAGUAAAACCUAGCUGAAGUGUAGCUGACCAUUCCCGAAACACCUGUCAGGAUACAUUAAACUAAAGCCAUUGAAUCAUUAUUUUCAUAUAUAUCCAAUUUCUGUUAUGAAACAGUACUUUGUUUCUACCCUAAGAGCUGAAAUGUGAUGUUUAGCUGACUGCUUUCAAAUUUGGAUAUCCACGGAAACCCAGGUUUAGGAAUGAAUUGAAGUAAUUUUUAAGAUUGCUUUUAUUUUUGUUAUUAUUUUAACGGCGUAUUUGAACAUGCAAUAAUUGACAUAUUUAAAGUAAGCAAUUGGAUAAGUUUUAGUACAUGAUACAGCAGUGAAACCAUCACCGCAGUGAAGAUAGUUACCCUAUCCCUCAUCCCCAGGGUGUUCAUGCCCCUUUGUGAUCCCUACCCGCCACCCUCCCCACAGCCUCACCUACCCCCCAGGCAACAAUUUAUGUCUGAGACUAUAGAUUAUUUUGCAAUUUUUAGAAUAAAUGCAAAAUCUAUAAAAAUG